ACCCCACUAUUUUGUCCUCAAGAUAAGUUUUUAAGCACUAAAGCUCUUAUAAAGCUAAAACUUAAAUAACAUGGCGGCGAACUUAAAUUUCAGAGGAACCUACCAGAUAAAUGAUAACCCGCAAGACAUUCUUACUUUACCUAAAAGUUUAUAUAUCGUCGUCUAGUAAUCUUAGAACAAAAGAAGGUUACGGAAGAAUAAAGAAAUUAUAAAAAGACAGAUCAUGACAUAGCAUAUGGUGAAGACUUAAGGUGGGUUACACUAAAAGAUUUUUUCGGAAAAGUAACUAAGUUAACUUAAAAAGAUGGAUUUGAAAGUAAAAAAUAAUUCUUAUAAAUAUUUUUUGAAUAUUUCUAGGUUCGUGUACACACCG
RNAcentral lists this ribosomal RNA (373 nucleotides) under Phanerophthalmus cylindricus. Its description in RNAcentral is "partial small subunit ribosomal RNA". Lineage: Eukaryota; Metazoa; Mollusca; Gastropoda; Cephalaspidea; Smaragdinellidae. The record is from RNAcentral.